UACGGAGGGAGCUAGCGUUGUUCGGAAUCACUGGGCGUAAAGCGCACGUAGGCGGCUAUUCAAGUCAGGGGUGAAAGCCCGGGGCUCAACCCCGGAACUGCCUUUGAAACUAGAUAGCUUGAAUCUUGGAGAGGCGAGUGGAAUUCCGAGUGUAGAGGUGAAAUUCGUAGAUAUUCGGAAGAACACCAGUGGCGAAGGCGACUCGCUGGACAAGUAUUGACGCUGAGGUGCGAAAGCGUGGGGAGCAAACGGG
RNAcentral lists this ribosomal RNA (253 nucleotides) under uncultured bacterium. RNAcentral's name for it is "partial 16S ribosomal RNA". It matches the Rfam family "Bacterial small subunit ribosomal RNA", at positions 524 to 776 of the family's 1533-position model. The record is from RNAcentral.